RNAcentral lists this transfer RNA (65 nucleotides) under Pantherophis slowinskii (Slowinski's corn snake). RNAcentral describes it as "tRNA-Arg". The record is from RNAcentral. Lineage: Eukaryota; Metazoa; Chordata; Lepidosauria; Squamata; Colubridae.
ACUGCGGUAGUCUAAUAGAUAUUUGAUUUCGACUCAAAAGAACUUACUCACCAUAAGCCAUAGUA